Acanthosepion pharaonis is the source of this 94-nucleotide non-coding RNA. The record is from the annotation of a GenBank genome assembly. NCBI's taxonomy places the organism in Eukaryota, Metazoa, Mollusca, Cephalopoda, Sepiida, Sepiidae.
CUUUGAAACACCGGUUCUUGUUUGAUAACAGAAGUUAAGCAACAUCAAGCAUGGUUUGUACCUAGAUGGGUGACCGCUUGGGAAUACCAGGUAC